GCACAUCUGGCCGAGUGGUCUAAGGCGCUGUGUUCAGGAGACGUUCAUUCGUAUCUUUCGCAGUCUCGUAAGAGGCCUGGGUUCGAGUCCCAGGGUGUGUA
Molecule: non-coding RNA, 101 nt
Organism: Emericellopsis atlantica
Lineage: Eukaryota; Fungi; Ascomycota; Sordariomycetes; Hypocreales; Bionectriaceae
Source: the annotation of a RefSeq genome assembly